AUAGGGGAGGACUGAAUCUGGCUUCUCACAUACGCUAAUUCUCUCAUAACCCUAAUUCAGUCUCUCUCUCUCUUCUCUUCUCUGGCAAACACGGCGAUGAAACAACAAAUGCUGGAGAUCAAAUCGGUGAUUUAGUGAACUUGGCUUCUAUGUUACGCUUUCUCUCAACUCUCUCUCUGAUUCUCACAAAAGUCUCCUAACGAUUGUUGCGAAACCCUAACUGGCGAUUCGUAUAGUCAUCAACCCUAAUCGGCGAUUCCUCUAAGCAUGAUGUGGUUGUGUCUAGCGGUGGUGGUUGUGUCUAGCGGCGGCAGUGGUGGUCUAAUGUUGAUGGUGGAGGAGUCGCGGCGGCGGUGGUUUUGUUUUACUUGAAUCUUCCUCUCAAUCUUUCCCUACGCCUUCUAAGGUUUUACAGUUUCGAUUCGCUUUUUGAAUUGGAACUGGAUUAUAAGUUUUAUUGAUUUUGAAUUUUGGGUUCUGUUUUAUUUUAAUAAUUAGUGUUAUUUCUUGGAUUAUUUUAAUAUGUAUAAAAUAGUAGAUGUUGAAAGAAGAUGCAAAUGGUGGAGAAGUUUAUCCAAUUCUUCAGGUAUAAUUUCUAUCGUUUAAUGUUUCCGCCAAUCUUAAUUAGGCUUUGUUUAUUUUUUUUUCCUUUUGGUAAUUGCGUUUUACAAAUCUUUAAGUGAUUACAUGAUUCUAUAGAUCAAGUAUAUCGAUUUGUAACAUUUGUGAUCAUUUGUGUUUGAUUUGGUUGUUUACAUGAUCUUCAUGAUUAGUUUUAAGUGUGGUUCAGAAAGUAAAUUUAUAAAAAUAUAAAAUGGGGCUUCGUCUGCCUUUCAAGUAUACCAGAAUUGAUCUUCUUAUCUUAAAGAGUUAAUAAAGAAGAAUAUUGUGACACCAUUGGUUAAGCCAUUGGUCAAAGUAAAUAAUAUGGCGGAUUUGAGGUGAACUCGGAAAAGUGGUUAAUAUGGCGGAUUUGAACUCAAGAUACGGAUGAUACUGCAUUUGUGACAGCACCAACAAAUGUGAUGGGAAUAUCUAGAUCUGAGAAAUUGAUUGAAGGAUACCUGACUAGAGCAGCUCAAUAGAGUUACAUGUUCUGUCAUAUUCUUUCUGGCAUUUACAACUUAACACAUAUUGCCUCUGGGGGAGACCUGUGCGAUCGAGCAAGGGAAAGAAGCAGUGUUAGCAAGGUACAUGCUUUUAAUCAUUAAUAUUCUGGCGAUGUGUACAGAAAACAAGAAUACGAUUGAUCAAAUCUAAUAAGCUACAAAUUUGUUUGUUUCUUCUUCUAUGAGUACGGUUCUAAGGGAUACGACGAUAGCUCUUGGCCGUUGCAGACUAAAAAUGGCAGGCAUGGUGGCGAGGUACGAUUGAUAAUGCAUUAUUCGGGUGCCAAUGCAAACAGUUAUUUGCCAUCAGCAAGUGCACCACAUGUGUCUAUGUACUCUACACCGCCGCAAUCUUCAUCCAUGAUUAAUCCACUUGUCUCUACCGGAGCUUAUCCUAUGCCGCCCGUAUACCCACCACUGGCAGCUCCUUAUCCCCCUCAGCCAUACCCUCCAGCUCAGCAGCCAUAUGGCUCCCACUAUUCUCAUGGAUAUGCAUAUCCAGGAGGGUAUACUACUCUAUACUGAGGCACAAUUCCUACUAAAGCUUUUCGGGUUUGCAUAUCUUGGACCAUUUGGGCAUUAGUACCACAUAUUGUUGGAUAAGUUGUUCAAGGGCAAAAAAGACUCGACAACGGUUGCCAAAAAGGUGUGGUUAUUAAGUGCCUAAUGAAGACUACAACAAAUAGAAAUCAAAGCAUAUAUGUUAGAUAUUGUGGCUGUAAGCUGAGAGGUACUAUAUGUAAAUGGAUAAUGUUGAGAUUGAAGAAUAUAAAAAUGGAGGGCCAUAGGCAGGAUGUUGCGAUUGAUUUUGGAAGUAUAAUGGACAUUCGAAGUAAAAAUGGGUGGCUUAGUUAUCCUGAGUUGGAAUUGUAUUUUUUUAAUGAUUCAAUUUGCGACUUAUAUAAUUUAAAUUGAUAUAAAAACAAUCGGUAUGGAUUCAUUAUA
Molecule: RNA transcript, 2054 nt
Organism: Helianthus annuus (common sunflower)
Lineage: Eukaryota; Viridiplantae; Streptophyta; Magnoliopsida; Asterales; Asteraceae
Gene name: expansin-A1-like
Exons: 6
Source: RefSeq, a predicted model, not a curated record